This 357-nucleotide unclassified non-coding RNA is filed under the name Siemensia pendula. RNAcentral's name for it is "partial external transcribed spacer". The record is from RNAcentral. Lineage: Eukaryota; Viridiplantae; Streptophyta; Magnoliopsida; Gentianales; Rubiaceae.
GGCCCAAGAGCAAGUUUGCCUUGGUCGUGUGUCGGUUUCCUGUGUUGUAUACCUACUAUAAUGGAAUUCGAAUGUGCAACAUUUUGUUAUUCGCCUUGUGCUGUCCCAUCGGUUGUCCCUUUGGGGUACGGUGUUGGGUGAACCUCGAAGUGAUCUUCAUGUUCUUCGUCACCCACGAAAUGUGUUGUUGGCGCGGCCCAUGAAGAUUGCUUGAGCUCUCGGAUGCUGAAUAUGCUUCAGGUAGUAGGCCUACGGCCUCUCUUUGCCCGAAUUAAGCGUUUAUUCGCUCAUUACCGAACGACGUCCGGUGGUGCCUUGAUGUGUUGGAGCCCYCGGGUUUUGGCAUCGUCAUGCAUC